RNAcentral lists this ribosomal RNA (118 nucleotides) under Dicranema revolutum. Lineage: Eukaryota; Rhodophyta; Florideophyceae; Gigartinales; Dicranemataceae. The record is from RNAcentral.
CCUUGAUACUUAUAGCGUAGUAGUACCACUCCAAUCCAUUCCGAACUUGGUUGUUAAAUGCUACAGCGGCAAUGAUACUGAAAAGGAGACUUUUUGGGAAAGUAGCUCAGUAUCAAGG